GACGAACGCUGGCGGCGUGCUUAACACAUGCAAGUCGAGCGGAAAGGCCCCUUCGGGGGUACUCGAGCGGCGAACGGGUGAGUAACACGUGAGCAACCUGCCCCUGACACUGGGAUAAGCCUGGGAAACCGGGUCUAAUACCGGAUGAGGCCGACGAGCCGCAUGGUUUGUCGGUCAAAGGGUUACCGGUUGAGGAUGGCCCUGCGUCCCAUUAGCUAGUUGGUGAGGUAACGGCUCACCAAGGCGACGAUGGGUAGCCGGCCUGAGAGGGUGACCGGCCACACUGGCACUGAGACACGGGCCAGACUCCUACGGGAGGCAGCAGUAGGGAAUCUUGCGCAAUGGGCGAAAGCCUGACGCAGCGACGCCGCGUGAGGGAAGAAGGCCUUUGGGUCGUAAACCUCUGUCGGAGGGGACGAACACUGACGGUACCCUCCAAGGAAGCCCCGGCUAACUACGUG
RNAcentral lists this ribosomal RNA (461 nucleotides) under uncultured bacterium. RNAcentral describes it as "bacterial SSU rRNA". It matches the Rfam family "Bacterial small subunit ribosomal RNA", at positions 28 to 507 of the family's 1533-position model. The record is from RNAcentral.